RNAcentral lists this long non-coding RNA (1334 nucleotides) under Sinocyclocheilus grahami. RNAcentral describes it as "lncRNA (ENSSGRG00000045592.1)". The record is from RNAcentral. Lineage: Eukaryota; Metazoa; Chordata; Actinopteri; Cypriniformes; Cyprinidae.
GGAUCACAAUGACAAUGGCUUCAAAAGAUCAGAGGUACCAAGAGAAGACUGCCAUAGCGAAAAGUUAACCAUCACUAACGCCUCCGCAGAGCCUCUCAAUGUCUUUCUCUCUGUCUGUCUUACCUUAACAGUGCAUCCUUCCUUCAUUCACUCGUGUAUACAGUCGUGCAUGUAGCUCGUAGAGUUCAACUGUCCUACAGGCCUUGACUUCAGAACUGAGAGUUUUCAGAUGCUAUGAGCGUCCUUUAACUCGAGGGUGCAGCCAUUUUCAACACGCCACAUGGCUGACCAUACAUCUCCCGAGCCCGAGUCGCUCUCCUACACUCCCAUGUUUCGCCCUCAGACAGAAGGACAAAGGUCAAGCCACGACCUUUACCAGCAAGGUUCAAUGAGUGGGCUCGGCCAGUUUGAGGUCCCGUGUGAAGCCACGGACGGCACCGGGAGCACUAUGAAUGGAAUCGAUCAAUCAGCGAACACUGCUUACUGGGGGAAUACGUCCCCUGUGUCCUCUAUGGGACUGAACAGGAACAAGGCACAAGCUGGAGUUUAUGAGACUGACUGGAGUUCUCACUGCCACCAACAAGAGGCAUUAGAGGGUUAUGAAACAACUGGGCAUCAGCAACAAAAACUGGAUUCUUUCUCCGAGGCGUUUUGCAGUCGUAGCCCCUUCCGAAUGCAGGCCGGAGGAGAGCAGAGCGGCUUCAACAACUCUACUCCUCCUUCACAUACCCUCUCCUUCCCUCUGGUUCUUAGCCCACCGCCAACGCCCUUGCCCCCUCCAUCCUUUUCUCCUCCUAAACGACCUCAACACUUCUCGCCUGGCCAGAUCUUAAGCCAAUCACAGAUAGAUGGGUCACUGCAGUUCUUUCCCUCUUUACCUUCGCCCUCCACCGGCAGGUUCAAUCACCCCAUUUGGCUCCAGCUACAAGCUGACGACAACAACGGCCUGGACUUAACGCAGCACCUCCCGCAAGAUUCAAACUCAUCCAUGGUUUAUUCAGAGCAUGGAGGGCCUCAUCUGAAACAAAUAAACUCCCUGCAGAAAGACUGUUCACUGCAAAUGCCCCUCAACCCUGCACUGGUUCAACAUCAUCAUUCUCAGGCCUGCUUGCAGCAAGAGCUGGGUCACGAGCCCGGGACAUCCGAAGAUCACAUGACAUGGCCUCAGUUUGGGCAAUCAUCCCGUUCAUUUGGACCUUCUCUGCAUCAGUCUAAUCUCCAUGUGCAGGGGUCAGGGCCAGGAGAAGGAACAAGAUUCGGUUAUGGACUGAACUUCGGUCCUGGGUCCUCAGAUAAACCUCUGGGGUCCUCCAGCACACAGGCAAAAUACCUUU